Long non-coding RNA from Pseudomyrmex gracilis, 361 nucleotides. RefSeq lists it as uncharacterized. The record is from RefSeq and is a predicted model, not a curated record. The transcript is spliced from 3 exons. NCBI's taxonomy places the organism in Eukaryota, Metazoa, Arthropoda, Insecta, Hymenoptera, Formicidae.
CUCGGUGCUAGCCGGCCAGAGUUUGCAACACUGGUCGGGCAACAGUUGAAAUCGAGCAGCAGUUGAGUGUUGAGUGUUACAUUUUGCCGGAUAACAAUUGAGAAUUCGCCGAUUUUAUCGUCUAGAAGAAUUUAUAAAUGAACAAAUUGAUGAGGAAGCAUUUAUACAUAUGCCUGAAUCUAUGAUCAAAGAGAUAAUUCUUAUAAUCGGAAAGCGUUUUCGUUUUAUACAAAAUCGAAAAAAAUUGUUUCAAAAUNAAAAUGAAAGUUCAGUUUUGGAAAUCUCAAAUAAAUUGUGUAGUGAGUCUGAGGAUACAAGCAGUAUAGGGAGUUGUUCUUCAUUAAGCGUAUUUCAAGAUUAU